UUUGGUUAUCUAGCUGUAUGA
Molecule: microRNA, 21 nt
Filed under: Brugia pahangi
Lineage: Eukaryota; Metazoa; Nematoda; Chromadorea; Rhabditida; Onchocercidae
Also listed under: 8 other names
Description: microRNA bpa-mir-9
Source: RNAcentral